Molecule: ribosomal RNA, 464 nt
Filed under: Vreelandella stevensii
Lineage: Bacteria; Pseudomonadati; Pseudomonadota; Gammaproteobacteria; Oceanospirillales; Halomonadaceae
Description: partial 16S ribosomal RNA
Rfam family: Bacterial small subunit ribosomal RNA
Source: RNAcentral
CCUACGGGAGCAGCAGUGGGGAAUAUUGGACAAUGGGGGGAACCCUGAUCCAGCCAUGCCGCGUGUGUGAAGAAGGCCCUCGGGUUGUAAAGCACUUUCAGUGAGGAAGAACGCCUGGUGGUUAAUACCCAUCAGGAAAGACAUCACUCACAGAAGAAGCACCGGCUAACUCCGUGCCAGCAGCCGCGGUAAUACGGAGGGUGCGAGCGUUAAUCGGAAUUACUGGGCGUAAAGCGCGCGUAGGUGGCUUGAUAAGCCGGUUGUGAAAGCCCCGGGCUCAACCUGGGAACGGCAUCCGGAACUGUCAAGCUAGAGUGCAGGAGAGGAAGGUAGAAUUCCCGGUGUAGCGGUGAAAUGCGUAGAGAUCGGGAGGAAUACCAGUGGCGAAGGCGGCCUUCUGGACUGACACUGACACUGAGGUGCGAAAGCGUGGGUAGCAAACAGGAUUAGAUACCCCUGUAGUC